This 433-nucleotide ribosomal RNA is filed under the name uncultured bacterium. RNAcentral's name for it is "partial 16S ribosomal RNA". It matches the Rfam family "Bacterial small subunit ribosomal RNA", at positions 29 to 507 of the family's 1533-position model. The record is from RNAcentral.
AACGAACGCUGGCGGCAUGCCUAACACAUGCAAGUCGAACGAGACCUUUGGGUCUAGUGGCGCCCGGGUGCGUAACGCGUGGGAAUCUGCCCUUGGGUUCGGACUAACAGUGAGAAAUUGCUGCUAAUACCGGAUGAUGUCUUCGGACCAAAGAUUUAUCGCCCAGGGAUGAGCCCGCGUAGGAUUAGCUAGUUGGUGUGGUAAUGGCCUACCAAGGCGACGAUCCUUAGCUGGUCUGAGAGGAUGAUCAGCCACACUGGGACUGAGACACGGCCCAGAAUCCUACGGGAGGCAGCAGUGGGGAAUAUUGGACAGUCGGCGCAAGCCUGAUCCAGCAAUGCCGCGUGAGUGAUGGAGGUCUUAGGGUUGUAAAGCGCUUUUACCAGGGAUGAUAAUGACAGUACCUGGAGAAUAAGCUCCGGCUAACUCCGUG